Molecule: long non-coding RNA, 1368 nt
Filed under: Monodelphis domestica (gray short-tailed opossum)
Lineage: Eukaryota; Metazoa; Chordata; Mammalia; Didelphimorphia; Didelphidae
Description: lncRNA (ENSMODG00000037221.1)
Source: RNAcentral
UUUUCUUGUAUUUUUUUCUAGUUUGAGUAAAUUAAUCCAACUUUGUAGUUGUAUUCAAGUAUUUUUGUUCCUUACAUUUUCAGAUAUCCCCCUUUUUUUUUUUAAACCAUUACCUUCCGACUCGGAAUCAAUACUGUGUAUUAGCUCCAAGGCAGAAGAGUGGUAAAGGCUAGGCAAUGGGGGUCAAGUGACUUGCCCAGGGUCACACAGCUAGGAAGUGGCUGAGGCCAGAUUUGAACCUAGGACCUCCCGUCUCUAGGCCUGGUUCUCAAUCCACUGAGCUACCCAGCUGCCCCCAGAUAUACCUUUUAAAAUAUUUUCUUAUGUAGAAGAAAAACAUAUGACUUAAUCACUUGUUUAUAUGGGUCUAUGAUUUGGGGUUUUGGUUUUAAAAAAUUGCUCUAUUGCAAAAAUGAAUAACAUGGAAAUACUAGGCAUCAAGUGAUAACACUUGUAUAAGAUUUAUGGUGAAUAAAUUACAACUCAGUAGUAAACAAUGUGGCCUUUGAGAGCUUUUAUUCAGUUCUACUAUAGAUCGAAGAAUUGAGUCAGUCUUUCCAAAUAGGAUCUAGGAAAUUCAAUAGGUAAAGAGCACAAGAAGAGAAGAUCUGAAACCAAUCCCACUCUUCCUUAUCCUACCUCUUCCUCUUUUACAGGCCCAGGGCUCCGGCUCUUCACAGUGUUUGGCAGUUUAACUCAGAACCCUAGAAGCAUUUCUAAUUCUUUUAAUCAAUACCGACAGAUUUCUUGUGUCUUUUGAUCAAUAUACCCAUGCCCUUAAACAGCACUUUAGUCUUUCCAAAUAAAAGACUUGUUCCGACCUAGUUUACAGCUUUGGUCUAUUCCAUAACCAAAAGACAUAGUUAUCUCACUUGAUAAAGGUGUCUGGCAACUUGUAGUUAACAUUAAUCACAAGUUUUCCUUUUCUCCUCGCUUCCACUAUGCCUUACCAACUCAAGUACUUGUUCAGAGGUUAAAUACUCUCUCCCUUCCCUUUCCCCUCAGCUGAGCCUCUGCGCUUGCAAGAGUCCAAGCAGCUGGCAGCUGGCGUGGCUGUGCGGCUGUUGGAGUCGAUACAUUCAGAGUUGGUCGGAGUCCAGUGUCCCAAGCUUGAGCUGUUGUUGAUGUAGCGUGAAGUCCGAGUCUUUAACGCGCUCACCCUUCCCGUCGUUCUGUCUAGCACCUGUGCGGACCACUCACAGCUAGGGGACUUGUUCCUGCUACUUUGUUCCGGAUAAACACAUACUGUACCCUCCCUUUUACCACUGGCAGCCUUAUUGUUCACAAAUUUUGCUACCCCCACCACGCUUGACUACUGGAUUUGUCUAUUCACUGGUUCCAAUUGUGGUGUUAAAGAGGGAGUUCAGA